UGGAUUGAAAUCAGCAAUUUUUCUCAUUUUAACUUAGACAAAAUUUCCAGCUUUCUAGGUUUUUCUCUCUUGUUCUCUCUUGGCUAUGAAAAAACCCUAUAAUUCCACAAGGGUUCUUGGUAUUUACCUUCCUUCCAAUCUAAAGGGAUUAAGCUAUUGAUGAAAUACACAUUAAGACACUAAAAUACCAAGGAAAUAAAGAUAAGUAAUCUAAAAGUGCGGGAAGUCGAGUUGGGCUGGUAUUGGAGUUUUACAAACAGGUGGCAGCUCAGGGGCAUAAUACUAGCACGGGCAGAUCCUGAUUUAUUAUUUACCACUGAUCAGCUGGUCAUUUGUAUCAUAUGGAUUACAAAGAUAAUGAAGUAAGAAGGUAAAAGGAAGAAAGACAUGUAAUGUACCCUGUUCCACAAGCAAUGUAAAGGCACAGGUUCUUCAGCAAACAUGCCUCUUCAAUAGGAGCCCAGGAUAUCAAUCUGCUAUUGGUGAGCUCCAGUUUGCUUCGGGGCUUUCCGAGUCGGUUCCAUAUAUUUUUGGUAUUGUAUAAACGUUAAUAGUAUGGAGGGGAUUUGUCCCGACCUUAGCUAAAUUUUGUGUAUCGUCUAGAGGCAUUGUAGACCAAUGUAAAGUUAAGCAUGGUAGUGUGUUAUCUUGUACAUGUUAUGGCCCUAACGGCCAAGUCUAUUAUGUAUAUAGUUUUAGGGCUUGUCGUUUAUAUUUUUUUUUCAUU
Capsicum annuum is the source of this 727-nucleotide long non-coding RNA. RefSeq lists it as uncharacterized. The record is from RefSeq and is a predicted model, not a curated record. NCBI's taxonomy places the organism in Eukaryota, Viridiplantae, Streptophyta, Magnoliopsida, Solanales, Solanaceae. The transcript has 5 exons.